GGCAGGGGAGGAGGAGCUGGAGGAAACUCCCUGCUCUAGAGGUUUCUCUGGCUGCUGGUAAGUCUGAUCUUUUACUAGUGUGUUUGUUUGGUGGGAGCAGGGAUGCAAUAACUGCUUUCUCCCUUCUCUCCCCCUUUCUGUCUUUUGCAUCUACUUUUUACCCUUUCUUUUCUGCCUUUCUCCCUGUUGUUUGCCCCUGCUGUACUGCUUUUUUCGCCUUUGUUUUCCUUUAAGCUGGCAGGCUUGGGUAAAUACCCAAGCCUGCUUGCGUGGAGGAAAGGGGGUGGGCUUCAGCCUCUAGGUUCUUCUCUGCCACCGCCCCCUCCUACCCCCGCCGCCACUCCAGUGCCCACCAGCUGCUACUAGGGCUACCCUAUAUUUUAAUCUUGGUGUUAACCAAGGUAAGAGGGGAAAGGCCCCAUCUAGCCUCACAGUCCCAAUUGUGUGUGCAAUCGGGGCUCUUCACAGUGGUUCCUGGCAGCCUAGCUCACUUCCAACCAUUGAGUGCUGCCUAUAGAGCGACCAGGAAGCUGAGAGCUGCUGCAUUGUUGCAGGCAACCUUUCCACUGCCCAUGCAAUGCAUUGUGGGAUACUGGAGGACUUCCUCCUCCAGAACCCUGCUGAAGACAUCACCGCGCCAUUUGUGUGGGUGCGUGGUGCAGCGGAGCCCUUUGCUUUUGUUGGGGAAGGUAGAUAUAAUCCAGUCCUCCCUAGCUCCAGGGAGUUUGGUCAUGUGAAUGACCUUACUGAGUGACGAGAACAUAAAUGGGAUGUGGCUUGUAGGCCUGCAGUCACUAUGCCUCACGGGGGCUGAGGAGUAGCAAGUUGAUUUGAUCAACAGAGAGAGGAAGGCUGUUCCAGGCAGUGACAUGGCAGCAGAAGGCAUGCAGAUGUGUUGGCAGAGGAGACAGAGGGGUCUGAGAGCUCAGCAGGUGAGCUAUGCUUCAUCUAGCCCUGAAGGACUUGAAGCUUAAGGAGCUGACUCAUUGAGCCCUUCAGGGACAUAUUGUUAGGGGAUGAAGUAGCUAAUUCAUGUGGGCGCAGCUUUGAAAUGGAUUAGCCUCUGUGUUAAGCGACUGGCAUGGAAUCAUUUUUUACAGGACUUUGCUGACUUUGCAAACCUGGAACACAAAGCUGAGUAAAACUCUUUCAGUAGCAACAUCUUGAUAUGGAACAGCACAGGGCAGGCCUGAUGGUUUCUGUCACUUCUGCCCCACUCAUGCCUUUGAGACUCAGGGUUUUCUGCAGCUGCUGCAAUGACUCGGCAACAAUCCCAAGCGGGAACAGAGGUUAAGAAAAGGGUUCCUAGUUUUCAGGCCACCAGCUGCCAUUUUCCACAUGUUCUAGCUGGGGUGGGUGGGGCAGCAGCAGUUCUGUGAGGAAUAAUGUGAGGAACAGCAGUUCUGUGAUUAAUAUUUGGGAUCACCUGAAGACAGAAGUGGUUUCCAGGGACUGGGCUUCAAAACAGAGCUUCAGCUGCAAGGUCGUUCAUGCUGCUCUGUAGCCACGCUCAGCUGGUCCUGAUGAGUCCUUAAUAUGACUGUAUUCACUUUAUUGAUUCUGCCUGUUCAGUUGACUUCUACUUUAAUCUGUAGCAAGCUGAGGUUUGAGACAACUGGGACAAUUCCAGCAGUACUGCUGAGGAAAAGAAAAGCAAGACUUUUCAUUUCAUGGAAAACAGAACUUUCCUUGUCUGCCCAACCAAAAGUGGUCCUUCCAUGAGGCUUGUCUCCUCUGAAUUACAUGUUGAACCUCUCCUAAUAAGAUGACAACCGAAUCUAAUGCCAGAGUGCCUCUUUCAUGAGGCGAAAGGAGGCGAUGACUUCGCAUUGCUUGCUGUCUCCCCGGCACCACACUUUUCUGCUGCUUUCUCUUCUUCAUUCAAGCAUCCCACAGAAGAGUCUUUUCCUUGGAGCUCUCUUCCCAGAACAGGAAACAGAGGAGAUGAGGGCAGCAGAGACGUUCAGCAUUGGGAAAACAAGUGGUGGAUGGAUGAGUGAGCAAGUGAGUCCAUCCCUGCUAAUGGAGCAGCACCAACAGAGGGAUCAGAAGCUAAAUACAGUGGGGCAGACAGCGUGCACAAGCAGAGCAAGGAGAAAGAGGGAAGAGGGGCAGCACAAGGGGCUGAGGCCUACAGAGCAUGCUCCAGGGAGGGGAGGCAGGUGAGGGAAAGACAGCAGAGGAGGGGCAGCAUCACCAGGCUCCUGCGGUGUUUUUGGUCAAUCCAUUCCUUGAUCCAGGCCAGCUUUUGAAUGGUGCCUUAGUUACUUUUAGUCCAGUUCUGGAGUAGAGGUGGGGCUAACAAACAGCCAGCAGCAAGAUUCCCUCCCUGGCAUCUCCAAGAUAGGGCUGAGAGAGACUCUGCCUGCAACUUUGAAUAAGCCACUUGCAAUCUGGGUAGACCAUGUUGAGCUAGAUGGACCAAUUGCCUGACUCAGUAAUGGCAGCUUUCUAUGUUCCUAUGUAAUAUCUAUUUUCAUUAAACCAUAAGUAUUCCUGAUUCUA
Molecule: long non-coding RNA, 2505 nt
Organism: Hemicordylus capensis (graceful crag lizard)
Lineage: Eukaryota; Metazoa; Chordata; Lepidosauria; Squamata; Cordylidae
Exons: 3
Source: RefSeq, a predicted model, not a curated record